CAACUCGAGUACAUGAAGCUGGAAUCGCUAGUAAUCGCAAAUCAGAAUGUUGCGGUGAGUACGUUCCCGGGCCUUGUACACACCGCCCGUCACACCAUGGGAGUUGGAAGCACCCGAAGUCGAUGACCUAACCGCGAGGAGGAGUCGCCGAAGGUGAAGCCAGUGACUGGGUGAAGUCGUAACAAGGUAUC
This 191-nucleotide ribosomal RNA is filed under the name uncultured bacterium. Its description in RNAcentral is "partial 16S ribosomal RNA". It matches the Rfam family "Bacterial small subunit ribosomal RNA", at positions 1308 to 1500 of the family's 1533-position model. The record is from RNAcentral.